CCUCUUUCUCUCUUUACACAGCCAUGCACACACACAGCGGCGUGACAGUGUGGAGGGUGUGACCUUGCUGUUGGACUAGUGUUGCAGUAAGCCAACACCAGUGCCGUGAUCGCAAGCUGCACUGUUCCAAACCAGAGAUGACAUCACUCCCCCCACCACCACCACCACCACCUCUCUCCAUUUUCUCAAACAAAGCCCGGUCCAAACCCAGGCCUGUAAUUACAGGCCUAAUCUGUGCGCUGCCAGGGGCAGAAUAGAGCUCUGGUCUGGGCCUUCGCCAGCCUUGCAAACAUGUGCUCCGAGUUUAGGCCACAGACAUGGAGUUCAGUGGAGAACGAGGCAUUUUGCUCUUGGGCGUUAAAUGUUCGUCACUGCCAUCUAAGACCCCAUCUCCAACCCCCCCAAGAGCCACCGAAACGUUCGCACAUGAUCGCCUGGGGGUUUCCCUGUUUAUUGUUAUUUUGUUCUUGAGGUUAAAGCUAUGAGUUGUUGCCAGGAAAUAUGAAUAAAAGUCAGUGGAACUCAUAAAAUAACAACGGUAAAGAGGUUUUCAUGGAAUUUAAUGUGGAAGAUCGCUUUGAUAUAAAGUGGAACAAUUUUCAUGGCUGAAAUUGUCAGCUUUUAAUGAGAGUGGUAAAUCAGGCAUCUACUACACUCUUUUCACAGUGAGGAUGGAUGGCUAUGCUAUGACCACCUCCAGCUAGUCUGAUAGAAAC
Molecule: long non-coding RNA, 716 nt
Organism: Pygocentrus nattereri (red-bellied piranha)
Lineage: Eukaryota; Metazoa; Chordata; Actinopteri; Characiformes; Serrasalmidae
Exons: 3
Source: RefSeq, a predicted model, not a curated record